UACGCAGGGUGCAGACGUUGCUCGGAAUCAUUGGGCGUAAAGCGCACGUAGGCGGCUUCGCAAGUCGGAUGUGAAAUCCCAUGGCUCAACCAUGGACGUGCAUUCGAAACUGCGAAGCUUGAGUAUGGAAGAGGGUCGCGGAAUUCCCGGUGUAGAGGUGAAAUUCGUAGAUAUCGGGAGGAACACCAGUGGCGAAGGCGGCGACCUGGGCCAAUACUGACGCUGAGGUGCGAAAGCGUGGGGAGCAAACAGG
RNAcentral lists this ribosomal RNA (253 nucleotides) under uncultured bacterium. RNAcentral's name for it is "partial 16S ribosomal RNA". It matches the Rfam family "Bacterial small subunit ribosomal RNA", at positions 524 to 776 of the family's 1533-position model. The record is from RNAcentral.